AGUGAACGCUGGCGGUAGGCCUAACACAUGCAAGUCGAACGGCAGCACAGGAGAGCUUGCUCUCUGGGUGGCGAGUGGCGGACGGGUGAGGAAUACAUCGGAAUCUACUCUGUCGUGGGGGAUAACGUAGGGAAACUUAUGCUAAUACCGCAUACGACCUACGGGUGAAAGCAGGGGACCUUCGGGCCUUGCGCGAUUGAAUGAGCCGAUGUCGGAUUAGCUAGUUGGCGGGGUAAAGGCCCACCAAGGCGACGAUCCGUAGCUGGUCUGAGAGGAUGAUCAGCCACACUGGAACUGAGACACGGUCCAGACUCCUACGGGAGGCAGCAGUGGGGAAUAUUGGACAAUGGGCGCAAGCCUGAUCUAGCCAUACCGCGUGGGUGAAGAAGGCCUUCGGGUUGUAAAGCCCUUUUGUUGGGAAAGAAAUCCAGCUGGCUAAUACCCGGUCGGGAUGACGGUACCCAAAGAAUAAGCACCGGCUAACUUCGUGCCAGCCGCCGCGGUAA
RNAcentral lists this ribosomal RNA (506 nucleotides) under uncultured bacterium. RNAcentral's name for it is "partial 16S ribosomal RNA". It matches the Rfam family "Bacterial small subunit ribosomal RNA", at positions 29 to 523 of the family's 1533-position model. The record is from RNAcentral.